ACACAUGCAGUCGAGCGGUAGCACAGAGAGCUUGCUCUCGGGUGACGAGCGGCGGACGGGUGAGUAAUGUCUGGGAAACUGCCUGAUGGAGGGGGAUAACUACUGGAAACGGUAGCUAAUACCGCAUAACGUCGCAAGACCAAAGUGGGGGACCUUCGGGCCUCAUGCCAUCAGAUGUGCCCAGAUGGGAUUAGCUGGUAGGUGGGGUAACGGCUCACCUAGGCGACGAUCCCUAGCUGGUCUGAGAGGAUGACCAGCCACACUGGAACUGAGACACGGUCCAGACUCCUACGGGAGGCAGCAGUGGGGAAUAUUGCACAAUGGGCGCAAGCCUGAUGCAGCCAUGCCGCGUGUGUGAAGAAGGCCUUCGGGUUGUAAAGCACUUUCAGCGGGGAGGAAGGCGGUGAGGUUAAUAACCUCAUCGAUUGACGUUACCCGCAGAAGAAGCACCGGCUAACUCCGUGCCAGCAGCCGCGGUAAUACGGAGGGUGCAAGCGUUAAUCGGAAUUACUGGGCGUAAAGCGCACGCAGGCGGUCUGUCAAGUCGGAUGUGAAAUCCCCGGGCUCAACCUGGGAACUGCAUUCGAAACUGGCAGGCUAGAGUCUUGUAGAGGGGGGGGUAGAAUUCCAGGUGUAGCGGUGAAAUGCGUAGAGAUCUGGAGGAAUACCGGUGGCGAAGGCGGCCCCCUGGACAAAGACUGACGCUCAGGUGCGAAAGCGUGGGGAGCAAACAGGAUUAGAUACCCUGGUAGUCCACGCUGUAAACGAUGUCGAUUUGGAGGUUGUGCCCUUGAGGCGUGGCUUCCGGAGCUAACGCGUUAAAUCGACCGCCUGGGGAGUACGGCCGCAAGGUUAAAACUCAAAUGAAUUGACGGGGGCCCGCACAAGCGGUGGAGCAUGUGGUUUAAUUCGAUGCAACGCGAAGAACCUUACCUGGUCUUGACAUCCACAGAACUUUCCAGAGAUGGUUUGGUGCCUUCGGGAACUGUGAGACAGGUGCUGCAUGGCUGUCGUCAGCUCGUGUUGUGAAAUGUUGGGUUAAGUCCCGCAACGAGCGCAACCCUUAUCCUUUGUUGCCAGCGGUUAGGCCGGGAACUCAAAGGAGACUGCCAGUGAUAAACUGGAGGAAGGUGGGGAUGACGUCAAGUCAUCAUGGCCCUUACGACCAGGGCUACACACGUGCUACAAUGGCAUAUACAAAGAGAAGCGACCUCGCGAGAGCAAGCGGACCUCAUAAAGUAUGUCGUAGUCCGGAUUGGAGUCUGCAACUCGACUCCAUGAAGUCGGAAUCGCUAGUAAUCGUAGAUCAGAAUGCUACGGUGAAUACGUUCCCGGGCCUUGUACACACCGCCCGUCACACCAUGGGAGUGGGUUGCAAAAGAAGUAGGUAGCUUAACCUUCGGGAGGGCGCUUACCACUUUGAU
Molecule: ribosomal RNA, 1424 nt
Filed under: Klebsiella sp. enrichment culture clone LY3
Lineage: Bacteria; Pseudomonadati; Pseudomonadota; Gammaproteobacteria; Enterobacterales; Enterobacteriaceae
Description: bacterial SSU rRNA
Rfam family: Bacterial small subunit ribosomal RNA
Source: RNAcentral